This 96-nucleotide non-coding RNA is filed under the name Treponema berlinense. RNAcentral describes it as "Glycine sequence". It matches the Rfam family "Glycine riboswitch aptamer". Rfam says of the family: This family represents the bacterial glycine riboswitch. Glycine riboswitches usually consist of two metabolite-binding aptamers domains with similar structures in tandem. The record is from Rfam by way of RNAcentral. Lineage: Bacteria; Pseudomonadati; Spirochaetota; Spirochaetia; Treponematales; Treponemataceae.
AGCCAUCUCUCUGGAGAGUCCUUGUAAUGUGGCAAGGCGCCGAAGGGUUAAGGUUAUAAGAACCGAUAUCUCAGGCAAACGGACGGAGCUUAAAAA